Molecule: ribosomal RNA, 552 nt
Filed under: uncultured Geobacteraceae bacterium
Lineage: Bacteria; Pseudomonadati; Thermodesulfobacteriota; Desulfuromonadia; Geobacterales; Geobacteraceae
Description: bacterial SSU rRNA
Rfam family: Bacterial small subunit ribosomal RNA
Source: RNAcentral
GAGUUUGAUCCUGGCUCAGAACGAACGCUGGCGGCGUGCUUAACACAUGCAAGUCGAACGGGAUUCGGAGCUUGCUCCGAUGAGAGUGGCGCACGGGUGAGUAACGCGUGGAUAACCUGCCCUGGUAUCCGGAAUAACAUCUCGAAAGGGGUGCUAAUACCGGAUAAGCCUACGGGGUCUUCGGACUCUGCAGGAAAAUGUGGCCUCUAUUUAUAAGCUACCGUAUCAGGAUGGGUCCGCGUACCAUUAGCUAGUUGGUGGGGUAAUGGCCUACCAAGGCGACGAUGGUUAGCUGGUCUGAGAGGAUGAUCAGCCACACUGGAACUGAGACACGGUCCAGACUCCUACGGGAGGCAGCAGUGGGGAAUUUUGCGCAAUGGGGGAAACCCUGACGCAGCAACGCCGCGUGAGUGAUGAAGGCUUUCGGGUCGUAAAGCUCUGUCAGUAGGGAAGAAAUGGAAACGGUUAAUACCCGUUUUUCUUGACGGUACCUACAAAGGAAGCACCGGCUAACUCCGUGCCAGCAGCCGCGGUAAUACAAGGGCGMMYUCW